This is a long non-coding RNA of Oncorhynchus nerka (sockeye salmon), 1260 nucleotides long. RefSeq lists it as uncharacterized. NCBI's taxonomy places the organism in Eukaryota, Metazoa, Chordata, Actinopteri, Salmoniformes, Salmonidae. The transcript is spliced from 2 exons. The record is from RefSeq and is a predicted model, not a curated record.
GUCACAAUGUAGAACCCUAAAUGUUUGUCCUCUGUUCUAUUGAUUUCAACAUGAUAUGGAUAUUAGCCUCAGGGGGAAAUCUAGGCCUGAAUUGGUCACAAAAAGUGACUAACAAAAAAAGAGUUGUUCCACUUACCACGUUGGUGACCCACCUCAUUCAAUAUGCAACACUUCAAAAUGUAUCUGUCUGUUUUCUCCUAAUUGUCCUCUAACCAGUGUGUGCACAUUAUUCCCAGAUUCCGUGUGGUUUUUGCUGCGUUAGUUUUAACAGGUCUUGCAGCCUCAUCUCCCCCCUCUCGGCACAAUUGAUUUCAACGUGAUAUCGAUGAGUGAUGACAAAUAAGUGUUGCGUUCCUUUGUUUAGCGACCCCUACAUUUAAAUGCAACACUCCAAAAUGUAGCUGACUGUCUUCUGCAGGUUGUCCUCUAACCAGUGAGGUAAAAGAUAUCUCCCAUUUCCAGGUGUUUUUUGUAUGUGUCAGUUCCAACAUCAUGUACAACCUGAUUUCUAAUCGAUAUCAGUGAUUUAUUGCUACUGUCAAAACAACAGUGUUCUGGUGCUUGUGGAGCUUGUUUUAAGAAGUAAAAUGAUUAUUGUUGCACGUUUGUUUAAAUUUUAUGAUUCUCAAUUCAUCAAACUGUUAAUGCAUAUUGGUUAUUGAUUUGGACACCCCAAAAUGUCAUUAAAAAGAUGCCCGAAGUCCAAUAUAUGUUCGGUUGAAAGUGAAAGUUAAGAUGUCUUUUCAGGUCGUUUUUUUUUUCAAUGACUUGAAAACAACUUAAUUUCAACGUACUUGCAGCCUGGACGCAGUAUAAUAAAUUGAGUCUAUAAUCAAUUUUAUUAACAAUCUGACAUCACUCCAGUAUUUUUUGACAACAUUCAAGUGCUAAUUGUCUUUAUUCCACUACUGAAGAAGCAUGUCUCAAAUCACCUCAUAUUUCAAACAUUCAGCCUGACAAAAGAUACAUGUUUAUUAUUUCAUGCCUCACCAUUAAGUGAAGUAUUGCCAAUACAUAUUAACAAAGCGGUGUACAUUUGGUUUUGAUAAUUCAUAUUUACAAUUAUGUAACAUUUAGUAAUCAUAGUUAUUCAUGCAACCAACUGACAGUUGGAGGUGUGAUGUAGUUAAUGGAGAUGGAGGUGUGUUCUAGUGGGUCUGGGCAGGUGUGAUGUACUUCAUGUUUGUAUGAUGUUGUCGUUUGUAUGUUUUGUAUUGUUUAUAAAAAGAUAAAUAAAAUAUUUUUCCCAAUGCAAAGUAA